UACGUAGGUGGCAAGCGUUGUCCGGAUUUACUGGGCGUAAAGAGCGCGCAGGCGGUCGUUCAAGUCGCGUGUGAAAGCCCCCGGCUCAACUGGGGAGGGUCACGCGAUACUGAUCGACUCGAAGGCAGGAGAGGGAAGUGGAAUUCCCGGUGUAGUGGUGAAAUUCGUAGAUAUCGGGAGGAACACCAGUGGCGAAGGCGGCUCUCUGGACAGGUUCUGACGCUGAGACGCGAAAGCGUGGGUAGCAAACAGG
Molecule: ribosomal RNA, 253 nt
Filed under: uncultured bacterium
Lineage: Bacteria
Description: partial 16S ribosomal RNA
Rfam family: Bacterial small subunit ribosomal RNA
Source: RNAcentral